UCUGGUCAGACGAACGCUGGCGGCGUGCUUAACACAUGCAAGUCGAACGCGAAAGGGACUUCGGUCCUGAGUAAAGUGGCGCACGGGUGAGUAACGCGUAGAUAACCUGUCUUCAUGUCUGGAAUAAUACGCCGAAAGGGGUACUAAUACCGGAUAUUCUUGCUUUUCAUAAGUUAUGCAAGCAAAGGUGGCCUCUGCAUAUGCUACUGCAUGAAGAGGGGUCUGCGUACCAUUAGCUAGUAGGUGGGGUAAUGGCCUACCUAGGCGACGAUGGUUAGCGGGUCUGAGAGGAUGAUCCGCCACACUGGCACUGGAACACGGGCCAGACUCCUACGGGAGGCAGCAGUGAGGAAUAUUGCGCAAUGGGGGAAACCCUGACGCAGCGACGCCGCGUGAGUGAGGAAGGCCUUCGGGUCGUAAAGCUCUGUCAAGAGGAAAGAAGUGUACAAUGGCUAAUACCUGUUGUAUUUGACGGUACCUCUAAAGGAAGCACCGGCUAACUCCGUGCCAGCCGCGGC
RNAcentral lists this ribosomal RNA (518 nucleotides) under uncultured bacterium. RNAcentral's name for it is "bacterial SSU rRNA". It matches the Rfam family "Bacterial small subunit ribosomal RNA", at positions 28 to 518 of the family's 1533-position model. The record is from RNAcentral.